Molecule: long non-coding RNA, 506 nt
Organism: Salvia miltiorrhiza (redroot sage)
Lineage: Eukaryota; Viridiplantae; Streptophyta; Magnoliopsida; Lamiales; Lamiaceae
Exons: 2
Source: RefSeq, a predicted model, not a curated record
AAGCGAAUCCAAAUUUCACCAAAUCUCGUUGGCCGCCAUCCAUCUUCGUCGCCAUAAUUCUUGAGGCGCAAUCCAAUUUCGCGAUAUUCAUCAACCUUUCUCUCUUCCUCCUCAUCCUCCUUUUUCUGCCUCUUCUAAAACUCCUUGGUCUUUUUCCGCUGCCUCGCUUGCCAUUCCUACAUACACACGAGAAAACUCACAAAUAGAAGAGAAGCGCAAGAAAUUUUGGAAUGGAUAGAUACAUCAUCGUAGUAUUCUUUUGGAAGGCUAGGUGGGUCGUGGAGCGCUGGAAAUUUGAAGAAUCCCCUUGCGAUAGAAAGACUGAAGAUAGACAGAGGUGGAUGGCGGCCGGCGAGAUUGGGAUGGAGGAGAAGCUGCCGGUUUCUUUGAGUUAGGGAAUUAGGGAUUUCUUUUCUAAUUUUAGUGAUAUUAGGACUUUUUUGUGUGAUUUUGUUAUUAUUUAAUAUUAUUUGAGUAAUUUAAAAUUAAUAUAUAUUCCACGUCAA